This 1364-nucleotide ribosomal RNA is filed under the name Chryseobacterium daecheongense. RNAcentral's name for it is "bacterial SSU rRNA". It matches the Rfam family "Bacterial small subunit ribosomal RNA", at positions 59 to 1431 of the family's 1533-position model. Lineage: Bacteria; Pseudomonadati; Bacteroidota; Flavobacteriia; Flavobacteriales; Weeksellaceae. The record is from RNAcentral.
AAGCCGAGCGGUAUGAUUCUUUCGGGAAUCAGAGAGCGGCGUACGGGUGCGGAACACGUGUGCAACCUGCCUUUAUCUGGGGGAUAGCCUUUCGAAAGGAAGAUUAAUACCCCAUAAUAUAUUGAGUGGCAUCACUUAAUAUUGAAAACUCCGGUGGAUAGAGAUGGGCACGCGCAAGAUUAGAUAGUUGGUGGGGUAACGGCCUACCAAGUCGAUGAUCUUUAGGGGGCCUGAGAGGGUGAUCCCCCACACUGGUACUGAGACACGGACCAGACUCCUACGGGAGGCAGCAGUGAGGAAUAUUGGACAAUGGGUGCAAGCCUGAUCCAGCCAUCCCGCGUGAAGGACGACGGCCCUAUGGGUUGUAAACUUCUUUUGUACAGGGAUAAACCUAGAUACGUGUAUCUAGCUGAAGGUACUGUACGAAUAAGCACCGGCUAACUCCGUGCCAGCAGCCGCGGUAAUACGGAGGGUGCAAGCGUUAUCCGGAUUUAUUGGGUUUAAAGGGUCCGUAGGCGGAUCAGUAAGUCAGUGGUGAAAUCUCAUAGCUUAACUAUGAAACUGCCAUUGAUACUGCUGGUCUUGAGUAAGGUAGAAGUAGCUGGAAUAAGUAGUGUAGCGGUGAAAUGCAUAGAUAUUACUUAGAACACCAAUUGCGAAGGCAGGUUACUAUGUCUUAACUGACGCUGAUGGACGAAAGCGUGGGGAGCGAACAGGAUUAGAUACCCUGGUAGUCCACGCUGUAAACGAUGCUAACUCGUUUUUGGGUUUUCGGAUUCAGAGACUAAGCGAAAGUGAUAAGUUAGCCACCUGGGGAGUACGAACGCAAGUUUGAAACUCAAAGGAAUUGACGGGGGCCCGCACAAGCGGUGGAUUAUGUGGUUUAAUUCGAUGAUACGCGAGGAACCUUACCAAGGCUUAAAUGGGAAUUGAUCGGUUUAGAAAUAGACCUUCCUUCGGGCAAUUUUCAAGGUGCUGCAUGGUUGUCGUCAGCUCGUGCCGUGAGGUGUUAGGUUAAGUCCUGCAACGAGCGCAACCCCUGUCACUAGUUGCCAUCAUUAAGUUGGGGACUCUAGUGAGACUGCCUACGCAAGUAGAGAGGAAGGUGGGGAUGACGUCAAAUCAUCACGGCCCUUACGCCUUGGGCCACACACGUAAUACAAUGGCCGGUACAGAGGGCAGCUACACAGCGAUGUGAUGCAAAUCUCGAAAGCCGGUCUCAGUUCGGAUUGGAGUCUGCAACUCGACUCUAUGAAGCUGGAAUCGCUAGUAAUCGCGCAUCAGCCAUGGCGCGGUGAAUACGUUCCCGGGCCUUGUACACACCGCCCGUCAAGCCAUGGAAGUCUGGGGUACCUGAAGUCGGU